GUGAGCGUAGCUCAAAUAGGUUAGAGCAUCAGAUUGUGGUUCUGAGGGUUGCUGGUUCAAGUCCAGUCGUUCACC
RNAcentral lists this transfer RNA (75 nucleotides) under Candidatus Shikimatogenerans bostrichidophilus. RNAcentral's name for it is "tRNA-His". It matches the Rfam family "tRNA". Rfam says of the family: Transfer RNA (tRNA) molecules are approximately 80 nucleotides in length. Their secondary structure includes four short double-helical elements and three loops (D, anti-codon, and T loops). Further hydrogen bonds mediate the characteristic L-shaped molecular structure. tRNAs have two regions of fundamental functional importance: the anti-codon, which is responsible for specific mRNA codon recognition, and the 3' end, to which the tRNAs corresponding amino acid is attached (by aminoacyl-tRNA synthetases). tRNAs cope with the degeneracy of the genetic code in two manners: having more than one tRNA (with a specific anti-codon) for a particular amino acid; and 'wobble' base-pairing, i.e. permitting non-standard base-pairing at the 3rd anti-codon position. The record is from RNAcentral. Lineage: Bacteria; Pseudomonadati; Bacteroidota; Flavobacteriia; Flavobacteriales.